CAGAAAAGCUCUGAGGCUGGAGAGCUGAGCCAAAGACGAUGAGGAGUCUGCUGGCACUGCUGAUCUUGACUCUGGCCCUGGCAGCGCUCUGCUAUUGUGAAAAAGGUUCGAGGGACAAACAAGAGCCAUGCUGAGUCCCUUUGUCUACUCACCCUUUUCGCCAUCAAUGCUGCAAUCCCUGAAACGCUGUCGGCUGGAGCACGUGUAGCAGAAGGGCUGGCUUUCACAAGCUGUUGGAGUAGGAGACAUGAGGGAGAUCAGGCCUCCUGCACAGGCAUCAAGAUUAAAAGGGAAGUUGCCAAUGCCUUUGUGAGAAGGCAGAAGAGAUCCAACUUGCAUGAAAGGUAACAACUCAUGAGUCAGGCUGAGGGCUAGACCCUGGAUUUGUUGUAAAGACAGGGUGGGA
This 406-nucleotide long non-coding RNA is filed under the name Struthio camelus australis. Its description in RNAcentral is "lncRNA (ENSSCUG00000015337.1)". The record is from RNAcentral. Lineage: Eukaryota; Metazoa; Chordata; Aves; Struthioniformes; Struthionidae.